GACCUGCGGAAGGAUCAUUAACGAAUCUAUUCUUUCUACACACUUGUGAACUUAUGAAAUGAUUACUUGGUUGGAGGUUUUCCUUCAGCCAGGCGUUUUAAUUAAACACUUUAUUUGUAACAUCUAUAAAUUAUAAACUCUGAAACAGAAAGAUAAUAAUCUUUUAAAACUUUUAACAACGGAUCUCUUGGUUCUCGCAUCGAUGAAGAACGCAGCGAAAUGCGAUAAGUAAUGUGAAUUGCAGAUUUUCGUGAAUCAUUGAAUCUUUGAACGCACAUUGCGCCUUCUAGUAUUCUGGGAGGCAUGCCUGUUUGAGCGUCAUUUCCUUCUCCAAAAGAAAAUUUAUUUUGUUUUGGGAGUUGAGCCUAUGUAUUUUUAUUAAUACUGGCAUGAAAUGUAUGGGCAACAGACAUCUAGCAACUUGAAGCUAGUGAGUUAUUUUACGUAUUAGGUCUAACCAACUCGUAAAACAUGUCAUUAGUUUCUAUAAGAUGAUAGAUUGUCUUGCUUGACAAAGAUCUCAAAUCUUUGACCUCAAAUCAGGUAGGAAUACCCGCUGAACUUAAGCAUAUCA
Molecule: small RNA, 574 nt
Filed under: Sporopachydermia sp. Eca34
Lineage: Eukaryota; Fungi; Ascomycota; Sporopachydermiomycetes; Sporopachydermiales; Sporopachydermiaceae
Description: eukaryotic LSU rRNA
Rfam family: 5.8S ribosomal RNA (bases 168-321)
Source: RNAcentral